RNAcentral lists this ribosomal RNA (464 nucleotides) under uncultured bacterium. RNAcentral's name for it is "partial 16S ribosomal RNA". It matches the Rfam family "Bacterial small subunit ribosomal RNA", at positions 28 to 506 of the family's 1533-position model. The record is from RNAcentral.
GAUGAACGCUGGCGGCGUGCUUAACACAUGCAAGUCGAACGGAAAGGCUCCUGCUUGCAGGGGUACUCGAGUGGCGAACGGGUGAGUAACACGUGGGUGAUCUGCCCUGCACUUCGGGAUAAGCCUGGGAAACUGGGUCUAAUACCGGAUAGGACGAUGGUUUGGAUGCCAUUGUGGAAAGUUUUUCGGUGUGGGAUGAGCUCGCGGCCUAUCAGCUUGUUGGUGGGGUAAUGGCCUACCAAGGCGUCGACGGGUAGCCGGCCUGGGAGGGUGUACGGCCCCAUUGGGCCAGGGGAGCCGCCCGUGCGCCACAGUGCGCAAGGGGGGGAGAAUUUUUCAAAAUGGGCGCAGGCCUGGUGCAGGGCCCCCGGGUGGGGGAGUACUGCCUGCGGGUUGGAACCCCCUUUCGUUAGGACCGUAGCGCAAGUACCUGUCCCGGAGAAAAAACCCCCGGCAACCCCCUU